GACGAACGCUGGCGGCGUGCUUAACACAUGCAAGUUGAACGGAAAGGCCCGGUUCUUGUGGGGUCCGCAUGAGGCGAACGGGUGAGUAACACGCGUGUAGCCUGCCCCUGACUUCGGGAUAAAUCCUGGAAACAGGGGCGCUUAUCGGAUAUGAGAUCCUUCUGCACGGUGGGGGAUGGUAAAAUUCGGCGGUUGGGGAUGGAAUCGUGGCCCAUCAGCUUGUUGGUGGGGUAGUGGCUUACCAAGGCUCUGACGGGUAGCCGGACUGCGAGUGUGACCGGCCACAUUGGGACUGAGAUGCGGCCCAGACUGCUACGGGAGGCAGCAGUGGGGAAUAGUGCAAGAUGGGCGGAAGCCUGAUGCAGCAACGCCGCGUGCGAGAUCACGGCCUUCGGGUUGUAACCCGGUUUCGCCUGUGAAGAAGCGUGAGUGACGGUAAUGGGUAAAGAAGCACCGGCUAACUACGUG
This 468-nucleotide ribosomal RNA is filed under the name uncultured bacterium. Its description in RNAcentral is "partial 16S ribosomal RNA". It matches the Rfam family "Bacterial small subunit ribosomal RNA", at positions 28 to 507 of the family's 1533-position model. The record is from RNAcentral.